CGUGUCAACAUCGUGCAGGGCCAUCGAAGAAUCCACAUGGCUGUUUCCAGAUGGAAACAAAUACACAGAUACUAUGAAACUUUUCCAAAAUACUGUUCUUCGGUGCUACUAGCGAACAAGUAGCAUCCGAGCUAGCUAGACCCUUGAAAUACAAGCUUAUGCGCAAGUCGUUGUAGGAUCGACUACUUAUGUCUAGCUAGCGCGAGUGCGCGCACCGGGACCACUGUUCGCUAGUAGUCCCAUACACAGAUACUAUGGAACUUUGCGAAAUACAGUUCUUCCACAUGGUGACCCUGUGUGGGAUUUGAUAACACAGGCUCAAUGGACGAAGACCCAGCAAGAAACGAAAAGCAGAUGACAAUGGCAUAAAAGAAACUUUUAUCCGAGACAUACAUCAACAUUACCAUCUUUGAAAGUUUAACCCUUUAGCAUUUAAACCAGCCAUAUCCGGCCAAAAAUAUUCUGCCUGUUUUAUGUUCAAACUGGCUAGAUCUGGUC
Long non-coding RNA from Octopus sinensis (East Asian common octopus), 498 nucleotides. RefSeq lists it as uncharacterized. NCBI's taxonomy places the organism in Eukaryota, Metazoa, Mollusca, Cephalopoda, Octopoda, Octopodidae. The transcript is spliced from 3 exons. The record is from RefSeq and is a predicted model, not a curated record.